ACAGAAUCUCCAGAUCAUCCUGACGCAGUGGCACUACUGGCUGAAGUGAGGAGCAGUCCUUAUGGGUUGUAUACAGGAGGCUGAUUCCUGAUUUUUGUUCCUCUCUUUACUUAUUAUAUUGUAGUGAUGAUCCACAGGCUUGUUGUGGAGAUCCUUUUUUGAUGUACUGUUGUCUAAGGCCUUUCCCUUCUUGAACUCAUUUAUUUGAU
RNAcentral lists this long non-coding RNA (209 nucleotides) under Lathyrus oleraceus (garden pea). RNAcentral describes it as "Pisum sativum (pea) long non-coding RNA (PSAT_LNC004549)". Lineage: Eukaryota; Viridiplantae; Streptophyta; Magnoliopsida; Fabales; Fabaceae. The record is from RNAcentral.